Molecule: ribosomal RNA, 631 nt
Filed under: uncultured Bacillota bacterium
Lineage: Bacteria; Bacillati; Bacillota
Description: bacterial SSU rRNA
Rfam family: Bacterial small subunit ribosomal RNA
Source: RNAcentral
GCGGGGUUAACUGGUAUGAGGUGAGAUGACGUCUAAUCAUCAUGCCCCUUAUGACUUGGGCUAACUUCAUGUCCCUUAGGGCCUGGGGUAAUCCCUGGGUAGCGGUGAAAUGGGUAAAAUUUUUGAGGAACACCGGUGGCGAAAGCGGCUCUCUGGUCUGUAACUGAAGCUGAAGCUCCGAAGGCUGGGGAAGAAACAGGAAUAGAUACCCUGGGAGUCCCCGCCGUAAACGAUGAGUGCUAAGUGGUGGGACCUUUUCGGGCCUUCGUGCCGCAGCUAACGCAUUAAGCACUCCGCCUGGGGGGUACGACCGCCAGGUUGAAACUUCAAGGAAUUGACGGGGGCCCGCACAAGCCGGUGGAGCAUGUGGUUUUAUUCGAAGCAACGCGAAGAACCUUACCCGGGCUUGACCUCCCCUUGACCGUCCUAGAGAUAGGAUUUUUCUUUCGGAACACUGGUGACGGGUGGUGCAUGGUUGGCGUCAGCCUCGGGUCGUGAAAGGUGGGUUAGUCCCCGCACGAGCGCACCCCUUAUUGUAGUUGCAUCAUCAGUGGGCACUCUAGCGAGACUGCCGGUGAUAAACCGGGGAAGGUGGGGAUGACGUCAAAUCUCAUGCCCUAUGUGGGUAACC